RNAcentral lists this ribosomal RNA (120 nucleotides) under Streptomyces nodosus. RNAcentral describes it as "partial 16S rRNA". It matches the Rfam family "Bacterial small subunit ribosomal RNA", at positions 162 to 283 of the family's 1533-position model. Lineage: Bacteria; Bacillati; Actinomycetota; Actinomycetes; Kitasatosporales; Streptomycetaceae. The record is from RNAcentral.
UCUAAUACCGGAUACGAGCCGGGGAGGCAUCUCCCUGGUUGGAAAGCUCCGGCGGUGCAGGAUGAGCCCGCGGCCUAUCAGCUUGUUGGUGAGGUAACGGCUCACCAAGGCGACGACGGG